UCCUUGAGCAAUGGGCAUGCGAAAAUACCCAAUACUGAAGAGCUUCCUUUGCCUAUGCGCAUCCCGCUGCUUAGUAAGUUUGUGCUCUGUGACGUGUGUAGUUAUCUGCCAUGAUCUCUGGGCCGCCAUUGGAUAACCAGAUAGACUGCAAGUGGAGAUAUAUAAUUUACCAGGCUGCUGCUCUAUCACCAAACGAACCUGCUCCUCGUCACUCCACAUCAGAUUGAUUUUGAUGCUCUUAUCAAUUAAUCUCAUAACUACUAGCACAAGACUACAUAGCAAGGGGUUGAGAACCUAAUUCCAAACAAAGCAACCACACUGUUGUGCCACAACUGCCAAGGAAGAUGCACAAAUUUUGCUGCUGGCAGAUGGUGAAGAACCCCCAAAAAAUGUUAUGGAGAUGAUAAGUUGGUGACUCCAACUAGAUGCAUCAAUGACUAUGAUAAGAAAGCGUAUCUAGGAUGCUGGCAUCCACUGCAGGGUUCCAGCAAAGAGGCUCAUUGGGACAUACAACUGCAGUUUACUCAGCUGCACAAAAAUCAAGUUCUUGGCUUUUUUUUUGGUCAACUGUUGUUUUCAUGGACAAGAAAAUGUUAUGCUCUUCAGACCAUGACCAGGUGCAAUUCUGGAGGAGAAACAACACAAGAUUCAACCAAAGAAACAUUUGUGAGGAGACAAGGAGCAACCAUGUCACCUGCAAUAUAUUUGGUCAUAUUACAAUUCACGGUAUGGGCAACAAAAUCAGGCUUGAAGGGUGUUUCACUGCAGUAAAGUAUUUAGAAAUCUUAGAACAAUUCCUCUUACCAUCUCAACAGAAACAUUUUCUUUGUUGGCUUGAGCCUUUCAUUUAUGUACAGGAUGGAAGUCCUAUUCACAUGGCAAGGGCUGUUAGAGAGUGGUUUCAGAACCUCCCUCAUGAAAUUCAAAUACUUGCAUGGUCCCUAAGAGAUUGCGAUUGCAACCCAAUAGAAAAUACGUAC
Molecule: unclassified non-coding RNA, 980 nt
Filed under: Portunus trituberculatus (swimming crab)
Lineage: Eukaryota; Metazoa; Arthropoda; Malacostraca; Decapoda; Portunidae
Description: uncharacterized LOC123497989, transcript variant X2
Source: RNAcentral